Molecule: ribosomal RNA, 301 nt
Filed under: uncultured bacterium
Lineage: Bacteria
Description: partial 16S ribosomal RNA
Rfam family: Bacterial small subunit ribosomal RNA
Source: RNAcentral
CAGCCGCCGCGGUAAUACGGAGGGUGCAAGCGUUAAUCGGAAUUACUGGGCGUAAAGCGCACGCAGGCGGUUUGUUAAGUCAGAUGUGAAAUCCCCGGGCUCAACCUGGGAACUGCAUUUGAAACUGGCAAGCUAGAGUCUCGUAGAGGGGGGUAGAAUUCCAGGUGUAGCGGUGAAAUGCGUAGAGAUCUGGAGGAAUACCGGUGGCGAAGGCGGCCCCCUGGACGAAGACUGACGCUCAGGUGCGAAAGCGUGGGGAGCAAACAGGAUUAGAUACCCACGUAGUCCCUGUCUCUUAUAA